AAGCGGCACAGCUCAAAUUUGAAAUCUGGCCCCGUCGGGGUCCGAGUUGUAAUUUGUAGAGAGUGUUUCGGGUGAGACCACGGUCUAAGUCUAUUGGAACAUGGCGUCAUAGAGGGUGAGAAUCCCGUAUGUGACCGUGGCUCGAGCCCAUGUGAAGCCUCUUCGACGAGUCGAGUUGUUUGGGAAUGCAGCUCAAAAUGGGUGGUAAAUUUCAUCUAAAGCUAAAUACUGGCUGGAGACCGAUAGCGCACAAGUAGAGUGAUCGAAAGAUGAAAAGCACUUUGGAAAGAGAGUCAAAAAGUACGUGAAAUUGUUGAAAGGGAAGCGCUUGCAACCAGACCUGUCCGUAGGUGAUCAACCGCUGUUCUCAGUGGUGCACUCGCUCUGCGAUCAGGCCAGCAUCGGUUCCGGCGGUCGGAUAAAGGCCUUGGGAAUGUAGCUCCCUUCGGGGAGUCUUAUAGCCCUCGGUGCAAUGCGGCCAGCCGGGACCGAGGACCGCGCUUCGGCUAGGAUGCUGGCGUAAUGGUUGUAAGCGACCCGUCUUGAAACACGGACCAAGGAGUCUAACAUCUAUGCGAGUGUUUGGGUGUUAAACCCAUGCGCGGAAUGAAAGUGAACGGAGGUGAGAACCCUUUAGGGCGCAUCAUCGACCGAUCCAGAUGUCUUCGGAUGGAUUUGAGUAUGAGCAUAGCUGUUGGGACCCGAAAGAUGGUGAACUAUGCCUGAAUAGGGUGAAGCCAGAGGAAACUCUGGUGGAGGCUCGCAGCGGUUCUGACGUGCAAAUCGAUCGUCAAAUUUGGGUAUAGGGGUACGUGUUCUAUUCGAGAUGAUGAGAUGAGAUUUAAUGCUAAUUUUU
Molecule: ribosomal RNA, 856 nt
Filed under: Usnea florida
Lineage: Eukaryota; Fungi; Ascomycota; Lecanoromycetes; Lecanorales; Parmeliaceae
Description: LSU rRNA
Rfam family: Eukaryotic large subunit ribosomal RNA
Source: RNAcentral